CGAUCCACGGAUAGCUCAGUUGGGUAGAGCAUCGAGCAUUCAACUCGACGGUCGCGGGUUCAAUUCCCGCUCCAAUUGG
RNAcentral lists this transfer RNA (79 nucleotides) under Roseibium sp. RNAcentral describes it as "tRNA-Glu". The stretch from base 9 to 73 matches the Rfam family "tRNA", at positions 5 to 66 of the family's 71-position model. From Rfam's summary of the family: Transfer RNA (tRNA) molecules are approximately 80 nucleotides in length. Lineage: Bacteria; Pseudomonadati; Pseudomonadota; Alphaproteobacteria; Hyphomicrobiales; Stappiaceae. The record is from RNAcentral.